UACGGGGAGGCAGCAGUGGGGAAUAUUGCACAAUGGGCGCAAGCCUGAUGCAGCCAUGCCGCGUGUAUGAAAAAGGCCUUCGGGUUGUAAAGUACUUUCAGUCGUGAGGAAGGUGUUAAGGUUAAUAACCUUAGCAAUUGACGUUAGCGACAGAAGAAGCACCGGCUAACUCCGUGCCAGCAGCCGCGGUAAUACGGAGGGUGCGAGCGUUAAUCGGAAUUACUGGGCGUAAAGGGCACGCAGGCGGUUAAUUAAGUUGGAUGUGAAAUCCCCGGGCUUAACCUGGGAAUGGCAUUCAAGACUGGUUAGCUAGAGUCUUGUAGAGGGGGUAGAAUUCCAUGUGUAGCGGUGAAAUGCGUAGAGAUGUGGAGGAAUACCGGGUGGCGAAGGCGGCCCCUGGACAAAGACUGACGCUCAUGUGCGAAAGCGUGGGGAGCAAACAGGGAUUAGAUACC
Molecule: ribosomal RNA, 455 nt
Filed under: uncultured bacterium
Lineage: Bacteria
Description: bacterial SSU rRNA
Rfam family: Bacterial small subunit ribosomal RNA
Source: RNAcentral